Long non-coding RNA from Sarcophilus harrisii (Tasmanian devil), 4512 nucleotides. The record is from Ensembl. NCBI's taxonomy places the organism in Eukaryota, Metazoa, Chordata, Mammalia, Dasyuromorphia, Dasyuridae.
GUCUCUCCAGGCCUUUCUGAAAUCAUCCUGUUCGACCAAUGGUUCUUAAAGAAGAGACCCUCCCCCCCCAAGACACUUUUAGAUCUGUCCAUUAAUAUGCUAUAAUAUCAAUAGAUAUAAACCACCUUAAAAUAUCCUUGCAUGGGGGUGUGUGUGGAGAGAUUCGAUUUUUAAGACAAAAGGGUCCUGAAACCAAAAUUUUUGAGAGUUGAUAUACUAGAUAAUCUCUUAGCUCAGGUGCUGCCUUCUCUAGAAAGCUUUUCCUAAUUCUCAGUACCCUUUCCUUCUACAAGUGGUUCUUUUCUUCCUCAAAUCAUUCUCUGUAUUAUAUCUUAUAUUUUUGUUUUUCCCUCCCCUCCAACAUUAUCAGAAUAUAAUGGGGGACAGAGAAUGUAUAGUUUUUGCUUGUGUGUCCCCAGAGCCUAAUGCAGUUUUUUUAAAAAUUCUUAAUAAAUAUUUGUUGACAAAUCAUUUCUAAUGGAGCAGUAAUGAACUGAGCUAGCUAUGCCCAGAAAAAUAACUCUGGGAGAUGACUAAAAACCAUUACAUUAAAUCCCCAAUCCCUAUAUUUAUGCACACAUGCAUUUUUGAUUUCCUUCACAAGCUAAUUGUACAAUAAUUCAGAGUCUGAUUUUUUUUGUACAGCAAAAUAAUGUUUUGGUCAUGUAUACUUAUUGUGUAUCUAAGUUAUAUUUUAAUAUAUUUAACAUCUACUGGUCAUCCUGCCAUCUAGGGGAGGGGGUGGGGGGGUAAGAGGUGAAAAAUUGGAACAAGAGGUUUGGCAAUUGUUAAUGCUGUAAAGUUACCCAUGUAUAAAUCCUGUAAAUAAAAGGCUAUUAAAUAAAAAAAAAAUAAAUAUUUGUUGAGUUUAAUUAACUUGAAUUCCAGCUCUGAUAUUUUAUGUGCUAAAGCCCUUUUGGCUCUAACUUUUUUUUAACUCUAAGCUUUUUUUUUUACUCAUCUAUAAAAUGGGGGAAAUAAUAUUUAAAAUUUUUUCUUCAUAAGAUUGUCAAGCUCAAAUGAGAUUGUGGAUGCAAGAGCACUUUGUAUCCAUAAAUCUAUUAAAAUGUACAUCCUUAUUAGUCUUAUUGUUAGCAUUAUUAUUUACUGACUUUCUAUUGUAUAUUGGGCUCUUUUGACAGUAAAUAUACAAAUUAGCAUCAGCUUCUUUGGGAAAUUUGUCAGAUUUACCAAGAUGACAAGGUCAGUAUCCAAAAAAAAUUUAACUGGUCUGAAUAAAAGACAGAAUCAAAUAUGACAAAAUAUAGGUGGGAUAAAUGUAAAGUACUAUCCUUGGGUUCAAAAAAACCAAUGUCACAACUCUAAGAUGAGGUAGAUAUGACUAGAUAAAAGUCUAUGUGAAAAAGAGCUGGAGAUCUUAAUGGAUUGAAAGUUUGUUGUGAUUCAUGUUGGCAGUAAAACACCCAAUGUAAUCCUAAACUGCAGUGAGGGAGUCAUGGUGAUCAGUACAAAGGCAAGGGUCACACAGGAUGGAUAAGCAUCAGCAGGGGGAAUUUCUCUAUAGAUGAGAUAACAGAUCCAUUUGAGAUUUGAAAAUGCCUACAACAUGGAAGGUAAGAGUGCUACCCACCCCAGUCUGCCCUAGAAGGCCAUAUCUGGAGUACAGUGUUCAGUUCUCAGUAUUACAUUUCAGGCAAGAUGUUGACAAAACUGAUGUGUGUCACAGUGGAGAGAUUUGGAAGGAUGGCAGGAAGGAAGAGAGAAAGGAAAGGAAGAAGGCAGGAAGGAAGGAAAGGAGAAAAUCAGGGAGAAAGAAUGUCAAGGAGGAAGGAAGAAGGAAAAGGAAGAGAGAAGACUAAGAUGAUAGGAAAAGAUAGUGAUAUAAACAUUGGAGGGGAUAUGGGAAAAUUGGAAUACUAAUACAUUAUUUGUGGAGUUGUGAAGUGAUCCAACCAUUCUGGAGAGCUAUUUGGAAUUAUGUCCAAAGGGCUAUUAUAUUAUGCAUACUCUUUGAUCCAGUAGUGUCUCUGCUGGGCCUAAAUCCCAAAGAGGUCAUAAAAAUGGAAAAAGGAGCCACAUGUGCAAAAAUGUAGCAGCCCUUUUUCUAGAGGCAAGGAAUUGGAAACUGAGUAGAUGCCCAUCAGCUGGGGAAUGGCUGAAUAAGCUAUAGUAUAUGAAUGUUAUGGAAUAUGAUUGUUCUAUAAGAAAUGAUCAGCAGGAUGAUUUCAGAAAGGCUUGGAGGGCCUUAUAUGAACUGAUGCUAAGUGAAGUAUAGAACCAAAAGAAUAUUGUACCAAAAGAACACAAGAGGAUUAUGUGAUAAUUAAUUCUGAUGGAUUUGGCUCUUUGCAACAGUGAAGUGAUCCAGACUAAUUCCAAUAGACUUGUGAUGAAGAGAGUCACCUGCAUCCAGAAAGAAGACUGUCAUACUAACUGUGGACCACAACAUAUUUUUUCAUCUUUUUUUUUGUUGUUGUUGUUGUUUGCUUGCUUUUUGUUUUUUUCUAUUUUUUCCCCUUUUUGAUCUGAUUUUUCUUGUGUAGCAUCAUAAUGUGGAAAUAUAUAUAGAAGAACUGCAUAUGUUUAACCUAUACUGGAUUACUUGCUGUCUAGGGAAGGGGAGCUGGGAUGAAGGGAGAGAGAAAAAUUUGGAGCACAAGGUUUUGCAAGGUUGAAUGUUGAAAACUAUCUGUAUAUAUUUUGAAAAUAAAAGCUAUUAUUAAAAAAGAAAGAAAGAAGGGAAAGAGGUAGGAAAGGAAACAAGCAUUUAUUAAGCAUCUGCUAUGUUCCAGGUACUAUGCUAAACAAUUAUCUCAUUUGAUCCUUACAACAACCAUGUAAGGUAGGUAAGGUAUUAUUAUUAUCACUUUACAAUUGAGGAAACUGAGGCAGGCAGAGAAACUGAGUGAUUUGCUCAAGAUGCCAUAGCUAAUUAAGUGUCUGAGGUCAGAUAUGAAUUCCGGUGUUUCUGGCUCUAUCCCUGUGCCACUUAGCUUGACCAGGACAGAUCUGACAAAUACCCCCUGCAUAAUUUGGGCAAGUCACUCUUUACCUUCAUUUUUCUCAUCUGUAAAAUAAGCAAGUUGGACUAGAUGAAUUGUAAAUAAUUUCCGAAACUAUGACUCUGUUAUGCUUCAGAGGAGAUUCUUGUUCAAGUGAAGGUUGAAUUGUAUGCCCUUAUUGACUUCAGACAAUCUGUGAGAGACAAGAAUGGACUACUGAGGCUUCUUGGAAAAGAUUUGGGCAAGUGGCAUUGCAGAAGGAUAGCCAGAGGGAGAUGCUGUCAUUCUGUGAUUUUGGUUCAUGACGCACAAGUUCAUGAUUUAAUUUAUUUGUUAGCCUUUACAUGUGCUUGUACAGAUACCUUUGCUCUCCAGGGCUGGACUUAAACUUUGGCAGCAAAGGGAUUAAAGUGUAAAAUAGGACUAGGACCCCAUUUUUCUCAAGUUUUCUUACUUUGAUGCCAUAGGUUUAAACUUUAAUUAGAAGCAAUUCAUUACUUUGGAUUAAAUAUAUCCUCUUCAUUAUAGAGCUUUUUCAAAAAUUUAGCUAUGUGAGAUAUGAUCCAUGAAUCCCUUAGGCUCUUGACUGAAUUUUCAUGAGAAUAGGGGGCCUAUACCACUGGGUUUUUGCAAGGAGAAGGAGAUGUGGUUUUUUGUGUGUAUGUGUGUACAUUUAUACAUACAUGUAUAUGUAUAUAUAAAUAAUGAUAUAUAUAUAUAUGUUAUAUAUUUCUAUCUGUCUGUCUAUCUGUUUGAAAGCACACUGGCAUAAGAAACAGUACUACUGGCUCUGCUGCUUACUAGUAGGGUACCUUUAGGUCACAAGCUCCAGGCCUUACUUUCCCUAUCCAUAAAAUAAAAUUCUGGCACUGUUGAUUGUAUAGUCCUGUGACAAAUGGAUUUUUACUGUCUGUGAAGCUCUAGAGAAAGGCAAUCCAAGGACUCAAAAGACAGACUAUGUUGACAUUAGGCUUGCAAGGCUAGUGACUCCUGCUUUUUUUGUCCAGAGAUGUAUUGGUAAAUGUUUAACAACCAGGUAUCUGAGGAAAAUAUAGUUUUAUCUAUAUUAUUCACAAUUUUGUCCAAGAUUUUUUUGAGCUUAGACAAUUUUGUUGAUUGUAAAUCAAACUCUAAUUUGUUUGUUUGCCAAUUUCUGAGGUGUAAAUUUUACAAUGAGAAUUUUAAAAUGUGCUCUGGGGGGCCAUUUGAGCUGAUUCCAUCUCACCUUCAUACAUCCCAGUGUAGCAUUGUAGAACCAUCUAUGUAUUAACAAGCCAGUUGUGUCAAUAAGUAAUGGAAAGUGUCCAAGAAAGUGAAGAGAGAUUAGGGUCUGACUUAAAAUGGGAAUCUAACCUUCCCACUCCAUUCAUUAUACUGACAUAUAUUUUCUUGUAUUGUUUCAACUCUUAACUCUGUUCAUUUAUUUUUCCAGGUUAUAAGUCAUGAACAUUGUUCUACGAGAAAGAUAUGGAAUGUAAAAAAUAAAAUUGUGCAUGUGUUUGUCUGGUUUUUCUUCAAGCACACAGUGCUGAUUAUAAACAAAAUAAAG